GAUGAAGAACGUAGCAAAAUGCGAUAAGUAAUGUGAAUUGCAGAAUUCAGUGAAUCAUCGAAUCUUUGAACGCACAUUGCGCCCGCUGGUAUUCCGGCGGGCAUGCCUGUUCGAGCGUCAUUUCAAUCCUCAAGCCCCCGGGUUUGGUGUUGGGGAUCGGCUCUGCCCUUCUGGGCGGUGCCGCCCCCGAAAUACAUUGGCGGUCUCGCUGCAGCCUCCAUUGCGUAGUAGCUAACACCUCGCAACUGGAACGCGGCGCGGCCAUGCCGUAAAACCCCAACUUCUGAAUGUUGACCUCGGAUCAGGUAGGAAUACCCGCUGAACUUAAGCAUAUCAAUAAGCGGAGGA
RNAcentral lists this unclassified non-coding RNA (348 nucleotides) under soil metagenome. Its description in RNAcentral is "partial contains 5.8S ribosomal RNA, internal transcribed spacer 2, and large subunit ribosomal RNA". The stretch from base 1 to 120 matches the Rfam family "5.8S ribosomal RNA", at positions 35 to 154 of the family's 154-position model. The record is from RNAcentral.